RNAcentral lists this ribosomal RNA (273 nucleotides) under uncultured bacterium. RNAcentral's name for it is "partial 16S ribosomal RNA". It matches the Rfam family "Bacterial small subunit ribosomal RNA", at positions 524 to 796 of the family's 1533-position model. The record is from RNAcentral.
UACGGAGGGUGCAAGCGUUAAUCGGAAUUACUGGGCGUAAAGCGCGCGUAGGCGGCUUCGUCAGUUGGAUGUGAAAGCCCCGGGCUUAACUGGGAACUGCAUUCAAUACUGCGGAGCUAGAGUAUGGUAGAGGUAGUGGAAGUUCCAGGUGUAGCGGUGAAAUGCGUAGAUAUCUGGAGGAACAUCAGUGGCGAAAGGCGACUGUCUGGACCAAUACUGACGCUGAGGUGCGAAAGCGUGGGGAGCAAACAGGAUUAGAUACCCCGGUAGUCC